ACCGUGCCAUGGCUGGGGACAGUGUGCUGUGGUUGGGGACACCAGGGCGCCUUGCCACUGCCAGGGUCACUGUGCUAUUCCAAGAAUUACUGUCCUGCAGUCAUCGUGCUGCUUCUGGGCAUAACAUGGCAUAGGCAGGGACAGCGUGUUGUCACCAGUGUCACCGUGCAAUGGCAGGGGCUACCUGUGCUAUGGCCAGGGCAGCCCCACGCCCUGCCAGUGCCCGGGCUGUUGGCAGGAGGGAAAUGCCGUGCCUGGAGCACAGGGGGGUCACUGCGCUGCUCAGCUCAGCUCUGCUGCAGACACUGACCCUCAGACAACACCCUGUCUGUGCCUGGCCCCCAGAAAGGGUGGCUGUCACCCCUUGGGGGACCCUCGGAGGCUCAGCUAUGGCACAAGAGGCUCCAUGGCCGAUCACAGGGACCUUCAGCUGAGAGCAGAGGGGAGGGUUUGGUGGCCGCUCGUCGCUGUUCCACACCCAGAGCUGGUGCAAGAAAAGGGAAGUGAAGAUGGACAGGGCCGAAGCUCUUGCUUUCCUCACGCAGGAAAGGAGGCACCCAGAUCUGCCAGAGGACUGCAGGAGGCCAAGCCCCAGUCCUGCUCCCUCCCCAUGGACAGUGGGAAGGAGGAAAAAGAAGAGCCUUAGAGGGAAACCCUCAAUUACUGGGAAGGGAGUUCCCCCCGCGGCUCCAGGACCAUCUCCCGAGUUAGUUUUCCCAGCACCGUGAUGAUGAUCCUGGUUCCAUAGAUACCGAUGCCAUGACAACUCUGACAUCAUCCGUGCUUGGGACGGGAGCUGCAGGGACGUCGCAGGGAGGAGCAUGGAUGCGGAGCUGUGGGACUGGGGGCUUCUCCCGGCUCCUGGGCCAGCUCCUCUCCCACCUGCUGUCCCUGCAGCUCCCUCUCCCCUUGCAGGGACCAGUGUCGCUGCCACACCACAGGAGUACCUGUGUCCAGGUGUGUCCAGCCCCUCACACACGUGGCUGUCACACAGCCAAGGAUUCCCAUGUGCUCGGCCCCAUUUCCAGCUCAUUCUGGCUGUCCCAGCUCUGCCAGCCUGUUCCCUCUGCCAGGUGGGAUCGGGAUUUAACUGUUAAAGCUCACAGCGAUGCCACGCAGUUUUUCUCAAUUACAGGUGAGUCAUCAUCUCUCCGGGCCUAUUUCUGAGUCCCAGCAGGAAAAGCAGAGCCCAGCCUUUCAUUCCUCAGUGCCACCAGCUCAGCAGACAUCAUGCUGUACUAUGCAAAACCGAAAUGGCCACGGAGACAAUGGUCAGGAACAAAGGCCAAAUUAACUGGAAGGGAUUACCCCAGGUGGGAUUUUUAAUCAGCUUCGGCAGUUUAGAAGCAGCUGUUCCAGCGUCCUCGAAAAUCAGUUUCAUGCUUUGAGAACAAACCGUCCCGAAUCCAUCAGCCCAGAGUCAGGUACCAUGGCAAGGGCUGCCCUGCUCCCUGAGGGUGCCCAGUGCCAGGGAAGCAGCAUGUUCCCGGGGCUACUGCCCAGGGAAUCACCCGGACCUCUGGGAUCUGCUCCUGGUUUUCUCAUGAUGUGGGGAAAGACACUUCAAUUCUCCCCCUUUCUAAAAUGUCUUGCCCAGCCCAUCUGUCCCAGCUGGGACAGGGAUAUUUCAGACAAUGCAAAGCACAAAGCACCAGGACCCUGCCUGAACUUUUCAGAUGUUAUUGUAGAAGAAAUCAUCACCGUUUCCAGACAAAAACGUGGCUUAUACACUUCCAGGCAUGACCAUGGUGCAUCAGGCAAGGUCCCUACUCAAUAUCCCUGCUCCUAAACUUCUCCCCUUUCUUCAAGGUUCAUCCCUCCAACCUGUGCUGUGUGCAGUGUUUGUACAAUCAUUUCUCACGUCAUGGGGUGUCAGUUUUCUUCCCCUGCUACGGCACAGAUAAAGCUCAGGAGGUAUCUCCAGCCCACACACAAACUGCUUUUUCUGUUUCACUUCCUAUUGCUGCAAAUCAACGGAUACACAGAGCCAGCCAAUAACAGGGACAGAUAUUGCACCUUCAACAUUUUCCCCAUCAAAUGGAGAACAGCAGCAUUUGGAAAUGGCACUUUCCUGAGCAUCAGUUCAGUUUGAACAAGUUCUGGCUGCAUUUACCACUCCCCCUGGAUUUCAGUGACAGGGAACAAACAGCAGCACACAGACAAGUGCCUGAGAUCUUUCUGUGUUCUGACUUUAUAGGAGUUUAAUUAAAGCUAUGGAUUUGCCUCCUG
This is a long non-coding RNA of Neopelma chrysocephalum (saffron-crested tyrant-manakin), 2229 nucleotides long. RefSeq lists it as uncharacterized. Lineage: Eukaryota; Metazoa; Chordata; Aves; Passeriformes; Pipridae. The record is from RefSeq and is a predicted model, not a curated record. The transcript is spliced from 2 exons.